This 1489-nucleotide ribosomal RNA is filed under the name uncultured Bordetella sp. Its description in RNAcentral is "partial 16S-23S ribosomal RNA intergenic spacer". It matches the Rfam family "Bacterial small subunit ribosomal RNA". Lineage: Bacteria; Pseudomonadati; Pseudomonadota; Betaproteobacteria; Burkholderiales; Alcaligenaceae. The record is from RNAcentral.
GGUUCGAUUCUGGUUCAGAUUGAAUGCCGGCGGAUGCUUACACAUGCAAGUCGAACGGCAGCACGGACUUCGGGUCUGGUGGCGAGUGGCGAACGGGUGAGUAAUGUAUCGGAACGUGCCUAGUAGCGGGGGAUAACUACGCGAAAGCGUAGCGAUUACUGCAUACGCCCCUUCGGGGAAAGCGGGGACCUUCGGCCCUCGCGGCACUAUUAGAGCGGCCGAUAACGGAUUAGCCAGUUGGUGGGGUAACGGCUCACCAAGGCGACGAUCCGUAGCCGGUUUGAGAGGACGACCAGCCACACUGGGACUGGAGACACGGCCCAGACUCCUACGGGAGGCAGCAGUGGGGAAUUUUGGACAAUGGGGAAACCUCUGAUCCAGCCAUCAUCCCGCGUGUGCGAUGAAGGCCUUCGGGUUGUAAAGCACUUUUGGCAGGAAAAGAAACGCACGGAUAAUACCCCGUGCAACUGACGGUACCCGCAGAAUAAGCACCGGCUAACUACGCCGUGCCAGCAGCCGCGGUAAUACGCAGGGUGCAAGCGUUAAUCGGAAUUUACUGGGCGUAAAGCGUAAGUGCAGGCGGUUCGGGAAAGAAAGAUGAACCUGUGAGCUAAUCCUUCUCGAACUUACUUUUAACUACCGAGCUAGAGUGUGUCAGAGGGAGGUAAAUUCCGCGGUAGCAGUGAAAUGCGUAGAUAUGCGGAGGAACACCGAUGGCGAAGGCAGCCUCUGAUAACACUGACGCUCAUGCACGAAAGCGUGGGGAGCAAACAGGAUUAGAGGCCCCGGUAGUCCACGCCCUCUAAACGAUGUCAAUCUAGCUGUUGGGGCCUUUCGGGCCUUGGUAGCGCAGCUAACGCGUGAAGUUGACCGCCUGGGGAGUACGGUCGCAAGAUUAAACUCAAAGGAAUUGACGGGGACCCGCACAAGCGGUGGAUGAUGUGGAUUAAUUCGAUGUAACGCGAAAAACCUUACCUACCCUUGACAUGUCUGAAUCCCGAAGAGAUUUGGGGAGUGCUCGCAAGAGAACCGAAACACAGGUGUUGCAUGGCUGUCGUCAGCUCGUGUCGUGAGAUGCUGGGUUAAGUCCCGCAACGAGCGCAACCCUGUCAUUAGUUGCCACGAAAGGGCACUCUGACGAGACUGCCGGUGACAAACCGGAGGAAGGGGAUGACGUCAAGUCCUCAUGGCUCCUUAUGGGUAGGGCUUCACACGUCAUGCAAUGGUCGGGACAGAGGGUCGCCAACCCGCGAGGGGGAGCCAACCUAGAAACCUGAUCGUAGUCCGGAUCGCAGUCUGCAACUCGACUGCGUGAAGUCGGAAUCGCCAGUAAUCGUGGAUCAGCAUGUCGCGGUGAAUACGUUCCCGGGUCUUGUACACACCGCCCGUCACACCAUGGAGUGGGUUUUACCAGAAGUAGUUAGCCUAACCGUAAGGAGGGAAGAUUACCACGGUAGGAUUCAUGACUGGGGUGAAGUCAACAAGGUAG